This 253-nucleotide ribosomal RNA is filed under the name uncultured bacterium. Its description in RNAcentral is "partial 16S ribosomal RNA". It matches the Rfam family "Bacterial small subunit ribosomal RNA", at positions 524 to 776 of the family's 1533-position model. The record is from RNAcentral.
UACGUAGGGUGCGAGCGUUAAUCGGAAUUACUGGGCGUAAAGCGUGCGCAGGCGGUUCGUUAAGUUCGUUGUGAAAGCCCCGGGCUCAACCUGGGAAUGGCGAUGGAUACUGGCGGGCUAGAGUGCGGUAGAGGAGAGUGGAAUUCCCGGUGUAGCAGUGAAAUGCGUAGAGAUCGGGAGGAACAUCAGUUGCGAAGGCGGCUCUCUGGACCAGCACUGACACUGAGGCACGAAAGCGUGGGGAGCAAACAGG